Non-coding RNA from Ceratotherium simum simum (southern white rhinoceros), 112 nucleotides. The record is from RefSeq and is a predicted model, not a curated record. NCBI's taxonomy places the organism in Eukaryota, Metazoa, Chordata, Mammalia, Perissodactyla, Rhinocerotidae.
CUUCCUCCCAUUCUGUCCACCUGCCCCAGUGCCUCAGGGCAGGAGAGGAUAGUCUCAGGCCUGAUGGGGAAGGUAAGUUCCUCCUGCACACUUAUUUCUGGUUCCAGGUUGU